UUUAUUAUAAAAUAUUAGAGUCAAUCGUUUUUAGUUAAUAGGGCUAAAGGGUAUUAUAGUUAAAAGGAGUUCUUGUGUCCCUCAUUGAAAACUUUGAGGUCUCUCCUUUGUAAAGUUAUUUUGAUCAGAGCGUCAUCUAAUAUCACUUAAAAUGUUGUCAAAAUCCCAUUAAGUCAUUUGGAUUAAAAUGAGAUCUAACCACGCUUCGAUUAGAGUGUAAUUUUGUCGCAUUAACUUGGUUCGAUACUAAAGCUGUAUUUAGUAUUCAGUUAUCCUAUCAAUCCACUUUCGCUCCCCGUUGUGUCAAUUUAUUUGCAUAGAUUUCAAAAUGGUAAAAUAAAUAGUUUUUCUUGUCCGUGGAGUGCGAAACAUCUGUGAAGGCACCAAGCUAGGUGAAAACUAGGCUUAAAUUUUUUUUAAUCAUUUCAUUUUUUUUUCAAUACAAAAUUUCCUAUCAUAUAAUUACGCAAACUCAUCUUUAAAACUCAAUGUUUACUAUAUACUUACUAUAUACUUGUUCUCUAUUUUUUAAGAUUAGCCGCUAAUUUAUAUAUAUUCUGAAAUAAAUAAAUUUUUGAUUACCCUCCUCGUGAAUUAACUAUCUUCAAAUCAACCCCCUUAUUUCUAAAAACCUCAAGUUACUUCCAUUUUUAUUCAAAAGAUAAGAGAAAAAAUGGAAGUUAAGAGAAAAAAUGGAAGUUGCUUGAUAAUUUUUUUUCCUUUUUUUAAAUUGUGAUUAUUGAGAGUAAGGAGGUGAUUUGAAGAUAAUCAAUUUACAAAAGGAUAAUCUUAACUUAAUUCUUCUGAAAUUUUUAAGUGGAGAAAAAAUAAAUUUGAAAUUUGAUUUUAUAUUUAAAAAAAUAGCAUAAAAAACUGAUUUAUUUAUUUAUUUUUGUAGGUUUUCACAUUACAUUAUCAACGAUUGAAAUAUUUUUGCCUUAGCACAAAAAAAGGCACCAAUCACUAAUGAUUUUCUGAAAGGCAGGGAAAUAACCGACACAAACAGAGAUGGAUUGAAGAGGUAAAAUAUUUGUGUGCGGUUGUAUGUGCAGUAAACACACAAAUUAUUCAAUUAUCAAGUUAAUUUCCUCUUCAUUUGCAUAAUUAAGUUUAAUAAGUGGUAGUAUUAAGUGUUAUAUGGUAAAACAUGAGUAAUUUCUUUUUUAUACAUUUUCUUUUUCAUUUUAACCAAGAUCACACCUAAAAAGAACUGUCUAAUAUUGUCAGAGUUGGACAGGCUCUCAUAUUUGUGGGCGGCUGUUUGAUAGAUCUUGAUGUUGAUUUGUUUUUUUUUUUUUUUUGAGACUGAUUAAUCAUCAGAUUACUGCAUUACACAGAUAUUUACAACAACUGCUUAUUGUAGCAGAGAUAUUACACUGAUAUUUACAAUCAGAUAUACAUGAUUGGGACUUACAUUAUUACAAUGAAUUCUAUGAAGUACAUGCCCAAUACAAAUAACCUCUCACAGGAGAGGAUGUCCAUACUCCACUUGCAUUUCGCAAGGGAGAAGGAUAUAAAGAACAUUUAGCCCCCACAAUGCUUUUGUGGGGGCUAGAACCGCUGCCCU
RNAcentral lists this long non-coding RNA (1567 nucleotides) under Citrus x clementina. RNAcentral describes it as "Citrus clementina (C. clementina) long non-coding RNA (CCLE_LNC005410)". The record is from RNAcentral. Lineage: Eukaryota; Viridiplantae; Streptophyta; Magnoliopsida; Sapindales; Rutaceae.